RNAcentral lists this small RNA (469 nucleotides) under Histoplasma capsulatum. RNAcentral's name for it is "hypothetical RNA". RNAcentral also lists the same sequence under 1 other name. The record is from RNAcentral. Lineage: Eukaryota; Fungi; Ascomycota; Eurotiomycetes; Onygenales; Ajellomycetaceae.
UUGGGAGAGUGCGUGAAGCAUGGAAAUGGACAUGGGGAGGUUUCAGGGCGAUUGGCACUGAGGGGACUGGGAUAUGAAUUGUUAUAGGUGGUAGCCUGGGUAGCAUUUGGCUAUGGAAGUAGACUAUUUCAAUAAAUUUGUUUAGUUCUUGCAAGGAAGCGAAGGAGGGGAAGGGGCCGAUGCGAAAUAGUUAUGUGCUUAUUGUACGUAUGCUGCUUUCUAUUUCCGUGAUGUGAUGUUAGAUGUUGUGUUUUUAUUUUAUGGGAUGUAGCUCUUGAUCUAUUUGGCGUUGUCAUCCACAAGGUGUGAAAAAAAAUAAGGAGGUUCAAGGGUUCCAGGAAGGAAAUUAUCGAGCUGGGCCAGAAAAAUCACACAAGAGGAGGUGGGGGGGGAACGAAAUAUACUCUGGCAUUCGUUUAUACAAUCCUCAUUAUUGCUAUUGCCCUAAUACCUAAACAAUCCAGGUACA